GGGGAUUUAGUUCAGUGGUAGAGCACUUGCCUAGCAAGCGCAAGGCCCUGGGUUCGGUUCCCAGCUCCG
This is a non-coding RNA of Rattus norvegicus (Norway rat), 69 nucleotides long. NCBI's taxonomy places the organism in Eukaryota, Metazoa, Chordata, Mammalia, Rodentia, Muridae. The record is from Rfam.